Molecule: microRNA, 22 nt
Filed under: Drosophila virilis
Lineage: Eukaryota; Metazoa; Arthropoda; Insecta; Diptera; Drosophilidae
Description: dvi-miR-9545-3p
Source: miRBase by way of RNAcentral
UUGUCUGCGCCACAAUUCUAAC